GGUAAGGACAGAAAGUAACCUGAGAGGGAAAAUAUCUGCUGUAUGAGGAAGAACACUGAUAGAAGCAUUCCAGGAUUGAAGAGGAUGUGGUAAUAUGAGUGUUGACAUGUAAAAGAAGGUUGUGUCACCACUGCUGAUAAUCUGACUCUACUGAACUAACUGGACUGCUGGUAUGUGCAUGAAGUGUUGCUAGUGGAUCAAACUGCCAUAGUCUGCUAACCUGUGAACUGAGCUGCUGAUUUCCAGACAACACAGACAGGAGUUGCUCCAAAGAACCUUUGUAAAAAGGUCCACUUUCCCUAACAUAUAGGUUAUUUCCAAGUUCUGGGUAUUAAAUGAAUAAAGUUGCUAUGAACAUCUUUGAGGAAGUAUCCUUGUUGAAUGGAGCAUCCUUUGAAUAUAUGUCCAAGAGUGGUAU
This is a long non-coding RNA of Mastomys coucha (southern multimammate mouse), 418 nucleotides long. RefSeq lists it as uncharacterized. Lineage: Eukaryota; Metazoa; Chordata; Mammalia; Rodentia; Muridae. The record is from RefSeq and is a predicted model, not a curated record. The transcript has 3 exons.